GAUGAACGCUAGCGGCAGGCUUAACACAUGCAAGUCGAGGGGCAGCACGGAAGUGGUAACACUUUUGGUGGCGACCGGCGGACGGGUGCGUAACGCGUAUGCAACCUACCGAUAACUUGGGGAUAACGGAUGGAAACGUCCACUAAUACCUGAUAAUAUCAUUGGAGGCAUCUUCGGUGGUUGAAAGAAUUUUGGUUGUUGAUGGGCAUGCGUAACAUUAGUUAGUUGGUGGGGUAACGGCUCACCAAGGCUACGAUGUUUAGGGGGACUGAGAGGUUAACCCCCCACACUGGAACUGAGACACGGUCCAGACUCCUACGGGAAGCAGCAGUGAGGAAUAUUGGUCAAUGGGCGAAAGCCUGAACCAGCCAUGCCGCGUGCAGGAAGACGGCUCUAUGAGUUGUAAACUGCUUUUAUACGAGGGUAAUUGCGCGCACGUGUGCGUGUUUGAAAGUAUCGUAUGAAUAAGGAUCGGCUAACUCCGUGCCAGCAGCCGCCGUAA
This 502-nucleotide ribosomal RNA is filed under the name uncultured bacterium. RNAcentral's name for it is "partial 16S ribosomal RNA". It matches the Rfam family "Bacterial small subunit ribosomal RNA", at positions 28 to 523 of the family's 1533-position model. The record is from RNAcentral.